This 460-nucleotide ribosomal RNA is filed under the name uncultured bacterium. Its description in RNAcentral is "partial 16S ribosomal RNA". It matches the Rfam family "Bacterial small subunit ribosomal RNA", at positions 338 to 795 of the family's 1533-position model. The record is from RNAcentral.
CCUACGGGAGGCUGCAGUGAGGAAUAUUGGUCAAUGGACGAGAGUCUGAACCAGCCAAGUAGCGUGAAGGAUGACUGCCCUAUGGGUUGUAAACUUCUUUUAUAAAGGAAUAAAGCGAGGCACGUGUGCCUCUUUGCAUGUCCUUUAUGAAUAAGGAUCGGCUAACUCCGUGCCAGCAGCCGCGGUAAUACGGAGGAUCCGAGCGUUAUCCGGAUUUAUUGGGUUUAAAGGGAGCGUAGAUGGGUUGUUAAGUCAGUUGUGAAAGUUUGCGGCUCAACCGUAAAAUUGCAAUUGAUACUGGCAGUCUUGAGUACAGUUGAGGUAGGCGGAAUUCGUGGUGUAGCGGUGAAAUGCUUAGAUAUCACGAAGAACCCCGAUUGCGAAGGCAGCUUACUAAACUGUGACUGACAUUGAUGCUCGAAAGUGUGGGUAUCAAACAGGAUUAGAUACCCGUGUAGUC